Molecule: long non-coding RNA, 1053 nt
Organism: Oncorhynchus tshawytscha (Chinook salmon)
Lineage: Eukaryota; Metazoa; Chordata; Actinopteri; Salmoniformes; Salmonidae
Source: Ensembl
AUUCUGAGUUCAGCUACAUUCUACAGUAGGUUACUCUCCCAUGGUACAGUAGGUUACUCUCCCAUAUGGCUAAGUUGAUUGUUCAUCUACAGUAGGUUACUCUCCCAUAUGGCUGAGUUGACUGUUCAGCUACUGUAGGUUAUUCCCCAAUAUGGCUGAGUUGACUGUUCAGCUACUGGAGGUUACUCUCCCAUGCUAGUGUAGGUUACUCUCCCAUCCUACUGUAGGUUACUCUCCUAUGCUACUGUAGGUGACUCCCCCAUGCUACUGUAGGUUACUAUCCCAUGAUACAGUAGGUUACUCUCCCAUGCAACUGUAGGUUACUCUUCCAUGCUACUGUAGGUUACUCGCCCAUGCUACUGUAGGUUACUCUCCCAUGAUACUGUAGGUUACUCGCCCAUGCUACUGUAGGUUACUCUCCCAGGCUACUGUUGGUUACUCUCCCAUGUUACUGUAGGUUACUCUCCCAUGUUACUGUAGGUUACUCUCCCAUGCUAUUGUAGGUUACUCUCCCAUGCUACUGUAGUUUACUCACCCAUGCUACUGUAGGUUACUCAUCCAUGCUACCCAUGCUACUGUAGGUUACUCAUCCAUGCUACUGUAGGUUACUCAUCCAUGCUACUGUAGGUUACUCUCCCAUGUUACUGUAGGUUACUCUCCCAUUCUACUGUAGGUUACUCUUCCAUGCUACUGUAGGCUACUCUCCUAUUCUACUGUAGGUUACUCUUCCAUGCUACUGUAGGUUACUCGCCCAUGCUUCUGUAGGUUACUCUCCCAUGCAACUGUAGGUUACUAUCUCAUGCUACUGUAGGUUACUCGCCCAUGCUACUUACUGUAUAUUACUUUCCCAUUCUACUGUAGGUUACUCUCCCAUGCUACUGUAGGUUAGUCUCCCCUGCUACUGUAGGUUACUCUCCCAUGCUACUGUAGGUUACUCUGCCAUUAUACUGGAGGUUUCUCUCCCAUGCUACUUACUGUAUAUUACUUUCCCAUUCUACUGUAGGUUACUCUCCCAUGCUACUUACUGUAGGUUACUCUCCCAUGUUACUGUAG